GACUUCGUAGCUCAGUUGGAAGAGCAUUGGGCUAGUAUUCCAAAGGUCGUAGGUUCGAAUCCCACCGUGGCA
This 72-nucleotide transfer RNA is filed under the name Paramuricea clavata. It matches the Rfam family "tRNA". Rfam says of the family: Transfer RNA (tRNA) molecules are approximately 80 nucleotides in length. Their secondary structure includes four short double-helical elements and three loops (D, anti-codon, and T loops). The record is from Rfam by way of RNAcentral. Lineage: Eukaryota; Metazoa; Cnidaria; Anthozoa; Malacalcyonacea; Plexauridae.